CACGGGUCUUGGGGUACGGGGUAUAACACAUGCGCAGUGUAACUGAAGCUGCGGUCGUGCGUUGCGAUUGGCUCAAUUUUGGCGAGGGCAGACCAGAUUUUACUGCGCAUGUGUUAUACCCCGAAAGAUAUGACGCUUUGAUGACGCGUGACACAGCCUCCUUUCCAAAGGCCUUGGUUACAGACACACACA
Sebastes umbrosus (honeycomb rockfish) is the source of this 192-nucleotide long non-coding RNA. RefSeq lists it as uncharacterized. The transcript has 3 exons. Lineage: Eukaryota; Metazoa; Chordata; Actinopteri; Perciformes; Sebastidae. The record is from RefSeq and is a predicted model, not a curated record.